Molecule: long non-coding RNA, 1408 nt
Filed under: Anser brachyrhynchus (Pink-footed goose)
Lineage: Eukaryota; Metazoa; Chordata; Aves; Anseriformes; Anatidae
Description: lncRNA (ENSABRG00000022625.1)
Source: RNAcentral
CCGUCGGCGUUGCGUCCUUGCCGUCUGACCAAGCUGCAGCGGCCGGAGGGGCCGAGGGCACUGCGACGAUCACCUCACCCCUUCCCCACCGUCUUCGCCUGCAUCCCCCCACGACGCUUCCAAGCCCGGGCUCUGCAGUUUUCCGUCCCUCGCCGUUUUGUCGCGGGACCACCAAAUUUCUGCCUCGGAAGAAACCUUGAGCCCGGACGAGCAGUUGCAGCCGGCCUCCAUCGAGCUUUUCCAGCUCGGGCUCCACCGAGCAGCGCAUCGAGGCUGGUAGGAAGGGGGCCGGAGCGUGUUCGUGGGUGGCGGAGGGGGGCCGGCGGCAUCCUCCCGGGAUGGGAAGGAGGACAACGAGCCCGGGGAACGGUCUCCGCACCUUGAGGGACGCGGAAGAGCUGAGCGACCUCGCCGCACGCUUCUAAUUACCAUAAUCAAUUAGCCUGUCGGAAAGCUCCCAAAGCUUCGGGACGAAGAAGGAGCCCGUUCCUCCUGCCUCGUCAGCAAGUUCCCUCUCCCGCUGUAACGCGGCGGGGGAAUGAUCUCAAAAAUGCCUUUGCUCGCUCAGCUGUGAGCCUGAUCGCUUGUAACUGUCCAAACGAAGGCUUUCUCCUAAAAAAAAACCACAAUUAAACCCAGUGAGGUGAUGCUGGAGGGUGCUGUCUUCCGUGGUUAUAGGAUUCUUGGGCGAUAGCUUGUACCCAGCCAAAAAAAAAAUCAAGCCGCGGACUCUGAAGACAGGAAGCAGAGAGUGAAUGUGUGCGAUCGAGCAAGCUCAACGGCCCUUUUUUUGGGGCAAAAUCCAGCAGUUUCCGUUACCCGCGCAGUCGCGCUCUGCGUUUCCUCCAGCUGUUCCGCGCCGGUGGGCAGCAGGCAGGGGAAGGCGCGUGGAAACCUGCGGGCGGGGAAGUCCGCAGCAGCCCGUCGGGAAGAGACGGGGAUUAAGGGUCCCAGGAGCCGGCGGGGUCUGGGGGGAAAACGCCGGGAUUGCGCCUAAAGGUAGCCCUUUGGGGAGAAUGAUAAGGAUUUGGAAAAACGACCCCAAAACUAGGGAAAAAGAUAAAAAAAAAAACAAACCAAUGGUUAGAUAUUGUGUAAUUCUCUGGCCUAAAAAGCCAAUAAGAGGAACUUCAGUAUUUUGGCCAGAAUAAGGGUCCGGUGAAAAUUCAGGCUUUAAUUUUAUUGCUCCGUUUUCAGAGGAAGAACCACGUUAUGCUCCAUGUAAUCCUGAUACUGCGCGGGAGACAGCGGCAGCUGCUCCGGGAGGGGAGACAGGGGCAGCAAUUGGUGCAGUCCCCGGAGAAGGAGGGCACAAAACGGGUCGGUUGGGAGCACUUUUUGGUGGAAGUGGCGCCGUCAGUGUUGUCUAGGGCCCGACUUGGGGUACGGCUCAGGGUUCCAGUUAGGG